This 834-nucleotide long non-coding RNA is filed under the name Marmota monax (woodchuck). The record is from RNAcentral. Lineage: Eukaryota; Metazoa; Chordata; Mammalia; Rodentia; Sciuridae.
ACUAGAAUCACAUUUGGGUGAGUUACAAAUGCUCAAAAGGUGGAAUCACCCUGGGUAUGACAUAUUUAUUGCUUUGGUAUGGAACUAUUAUUGAGUUUAAAAACAAGUCCAAGUUAAAAACAAGGCAGAAAUUCCAAUUUUGCUAUGGUGAGGUCAGAUAACUACAGUCUUUCUUGCUUCUCACAACUAAUACUCUAGACAAAAACCAACUACCCCAGGACUCUGAAAAAUAUACAAAAGCAUAAGAAUUAUGGAAGGGAGAUAAAACUUGGAGAAGCAACCUACAAGAAACCUCUCUCAGCAAUUGAUAGAAUAAGUAGACAAAAAUUUCAGUAAGGAUAUAGAAGACCUGAGUGACACCAUCAACCAGAACUGGACCUAAUUGACAUUGAUAGAAGCAAAAUUUAUGUUCUUUAAGUGUGCUUACCAAGAUAAACUUUAUCCUGGAUCAUCAUAAUAAUCUUAUCUAAUGUCUAAGAAUUCAAUAACUUAAAAAUGUUAAAGUAAAAGAAAGCAAUAAAAGAAAUUAUUUAGCUAUAAGGGUAUUACAUUAUAGAUCAGUAACAGACAUCUGGAAAACAACAUAUAUUUAGAAAUUAAACAACACUUCUAGUAACCCAUUGGAAGUCAGGAGGGAAAAUAGUAGAUUGAGUGAAAAUAAAAACAACAUGGUGUAUAAAUGCCACAUUUUGUGUAACUGAUGUGAUUCUGCAAUCUGUAUUUGGGGUAAAAUUGGGAGUUCAUAACCAACUUGAAUCUAAUGUAUGAAAUAUGAUAUGUCAAUAGCUUUAUAAUGUUUUGAACAACCAAUAAAACAAAGAAUGCAAAGAAAAU